Molecule: non-coding RNA, 21 nt
Filed under: Caenorhabditis elegans
Lineage: Eukaryota; Metazoa; Nematoda; Chromadorea; Rhabditida; Rhabditidae
Source: RNAcentral
UGUUUGGUAAAAUAUAUCUAA